AUAUCUCCACCUGUGCACUUUUUGUAGACCUUUCAGGUCUAUGUUGCUUCAUUUACCCCAAUGUAUGUUAAUAGAAUGUUGUGCCUAUAAUAAUAUAUACAACUUUCAGCAACGGAUCUCUUGGCUCUCGCAUCGAUGAAGAACGCAGCGAAAUGCGAUAAGUAAUGUGAAUUGCAGAAUUCAGUGAAUCAUCGAAUCUUUGAACGCACCUUGCGCUCCUUGGUAUUCCGAGGAGCAUGCCUGUUUGAGUGUCAUUAAUAUAUAUAUCAAACUUCUCUUUGUUGAGUGGUUUGGAUGUGGGGGUUUGCUGGCCUUCUUAAAGAGUUCAGCUCCUCUGAAAUGCAUUAGCAGAACAACCUUGUUCAUUGGUGUGAUAACUAUCUACGCUAUUGAAUGUGAGGGGCAGUUCAGCUUUCUAACAGUCUUUGGACAAUUCAUCAUUAAUGUGACCUCAAAUCAGGUAGGACUACCCGCUGAACUUAAGCAUAUCAAUAAGCRGAGGAA
This 504-nucleotide ribosomal RNA is filed under the name uncultured Cortinarius. RNAcentral's name for it is "eukaryotic LSU rRNA". The record is from RNAcentral. Lineage: Eukaryota; Fungi; Basidiomycota; Agaricomycetes; Agaricales; Cortinariaceae.